AGCGAACGCUGGCGGCAGGCUUAACACAUGCAAGUCGAACGCCCCGCAAGGGGAGUGGCAGACGGGUGAGUAACACGUGGGAACGUACCCUUUGGUUCGGAAUAACUUGGGGAAACUCAAGCUAAUACCGGAUAAGCCCUUAUGGGGAAAGGUUUACUGCCGAAGGAUCGGCCCGCGUCUGAUUAGCUAGUUGGUGAGGUAACGGCUCACCAAGGCGACGAUCAGUAGCUGGUCUGAGAGGAUGAUCAGCCACACUGGGACUGAGACACGGCCGAGACUCCUACGGGAGGCAGCAGUGGGGAAUAUUGGACAAUGGGGGCGACCCUGAUCCAGCCAUGCCGCGUGAGUGAUGAAGGCCUUAGGGUUGUAAAGCUCUUUUACCCGGGACGAUAAUGACUGUACCGGGAGAAUAAGCCCCGGCUAACUUCGCGCCAGCAGCCGCGGUAA
This 447-nucleotide ribosomal RNA is filed under the name uncultured bacterium. RNAcentral describes it as "partial 16S ribosomal RNA". It matches the Rfam family "Bacterial small subunit ribosomal RNA", at positions 29 to 523 of the family's 1533-position model. The record is from RNAcentral.